AUUGAACGCUGGCGGCAUGCCUUACACAUGCAAGUCGAACGGCAGCACGGGACUCGGGCAACUGAGUCCUGGUGGCGAGUGGCGAACGGGUGAGUAAUGCAUCGGAACGUGCCCAGUAGUGGGGGAUAACUAGUCGAAAGAUUAGCUAAUACCGCAUACGACCUAUGGGUGAAAGCGGGGGAUUUUCGGGCAACCGAGAACCUCGCGCUAUCGGAGCGGCCGAUGUCGAUUAGCUAGUUGGCGGGGUAAAAGCCCACCAAGGCUUCGAUCAGUAGCUGGUCUGAGAGGACGACCAGCCACACUGGGACUGAGACACGGCCCAGACUCCUACGGGA
Molecule: ribosomal RNA, 335 nt
Filed under: uncultured bacterium
Lineage: Bacteria
Description: bacterial SSU rRNA
Rfam family: Bacterial small subunit ribosomal RNA
Source: RNAcentral